Non-coding RNA from Dipodomys ordii (Ord's kangaroo rat), 70 nucleotides. NCBI's taxonomy places the organism in Eukaryota, Metazoa, Chordata, Mammalia, Rodentia, Heteromyidae. The record is from Rfam.
GGGAAAGUGGCUCAGUGGUAGAGUUCUUGCCUUGUAUGCAAGAGACCCUGGGUUCCAUUCCUCAGCACCA